GCAGUCGAGCGGGGGAAGGUAGCUUGCUACUGGACCUAGCGGCGGACGGGUGAGUAAUGCUUAGGAAUCUGCCUAUUAGUGGGGGACAACAUCUCGAAAGGGAUGCUAAUACCGCAUACGUCCUACGGGAGAAAGCAGGGGAUCUUCGGACCUUGCGCUAAUAGAUGAGCCUAAGUCGGAUUAGCUAGUUGGUGGGGUAAAGGCCUACCAAGGCGACGAUCUGUAGCGGGUCUGAGAGGAUGAUCCGCCACACUGGGACUGAGACACGGCCCAGACUCCUACGGGAGGCAGCAGUGGGGAAUAUUGGACAAUGGGCGCAAGCCUGAUCCAGCCAUGCCGCGUGUGUGAAGAAGGCCUUAUGGUUGUAAAGCACUUUAAGCGAGGAGGAGGCUACUUUAGAUAAUACCUAGAGAUAGUGGACGUUACUCGCAGAAUAAGCACCGGCUAACUCUGUGCCAGCAGCCGCGGUAAUACAGAGGGUGCAAGCGUUAAUCGGAUUUACUGGGCGUAAAGCGCGCGUAGGCGGCUAAUUAAGUCAAAUGUGAAAUCCCCGAGCUUAACUUGGGAAUUGCAUUCGAUACUGGUUAGCUAGAGUGUGGGAGAGGAUGGUAGAAUUCCAGGUGUAGCGGUGAAAUGCGUAGAGAUCUGGAGGAAUACCGAUGGCGAAGGCAGCCAUCUGGCCUAACACUGACGCUGAGGUGCGAAAGCAUGGGGAGCAAACAGGAUUAGAUACCCUGGUAGUCCAUGCCGUAAACGAUGUCUACUAGCCGUUGGGGCCUUUGAGGCUUUAGUGGCGCAGCUAACGCGAUAAGUAGACCGCCUGGGGAGUACGGUCGCAAGACUAAAACUCAAAUGAAUUGACGGGGGCCCGCACAAGCGGUGGAGCAUGUGGUUUAAUUCGAUGCAACGCGAAGAACCUUACCUGGCCUUGACAUAGUAAGAACUUUCCAGAGAUGGAUUGGUGCCUUCGGGAACUUACAUACAGGUGCUGCAUGGCUGUCGUCAGCUC
Molecule: ribosomal RNA, 1009 nt
Filed under: Acinetobacter nosocomialis
Lineage: Bacteria; Pseudomonadati; Pseudomonadota; Gammaproteobacteria; Moraxellales; Moraxellaceae
Description: bacterial SSU rRNA
Rfam family: Bacterial small subunit ribosomal RNA
Source: RNAcentral